UACGGAGGGGGCAAGCGUUGCUCGGAUUCACUGGGCGUAAAGCGACCGUAGGCGGUCUAUUAAGUCAGAUGUGAAAGCCUUGGGCUCAACCCAAGAACUGCAUUUGAAACUGGCAGACUAGAGUUGUUCAGAGGAAGGCGGAAUUACCAGUGUAGAGGUGAAAUUCGUAGAUAUUGGUAGGAACACCGAAGAUGAAGAUA
This 200-nucleotide ribosomal RNA is filed under the name uncultured bacterium. RNAcentral describes it as "partial 16S ribosomal RNA". It matches the Rfam family "Bacterial small subunit ribosomal RNA", at positions 524 to 723 of the family's 1533-position model. The record is from RNAcentral.